AGCAAAACACACCUUGCAGCGGCAGCAGCAGCAGCGCAGUCGUGUCUCAGGUGUCAAGAAGUGAGAGAACGAGUUCUGCCUGCAGCUGCAACCGAGAAUUAGUGGAUCCCAACACGGAGGCCUCUCCUCCCAUGAGACUCGCCACAUUAUGACAUCCAGCUAUCUGUAUCUACUGCUUUACUUACUGGGAAGCUGCUUAGGGCCAUCAGUCGCACAAAGGAAUGAAACCUGUUCUGCAAAAGAAACAUGUGGUCAGGGCCAGGAGCCGACCUCUCGCUUCCUGCAGUGCGUGGGACUGCCGUCGAGCGACGCGGGCGCGGACCACGCGAGGCGGCUGAAAGGAAUGCUGGCGGGGGCGAUGGACGUGUACAGCUUCAUGAGGUCCAGCACGAGGGGAGUGCCCCUCCUCAGCCUGCAGGGAGAGCUGGCUUUAAACCCCGCAGCAGACCCCCUCCAGAACGAAGCCCUGGUCCAGAUGUGGCUCCAGGUCAAGAUCAAACCGCUGCUGAAAUCCGUCUCCAGGCACUUCCUGUCCUGCCUCAGCACCAAGAACUUCAGCUGCGCCACCUACCAGACCGUGGUGAAGGAGCUCAGCCUCCAUUACUCCGAGAUGGAUCCGGUCAGACAAAAGUGGAUCUACUCAUUCUUCAUGUACCCCUUCCUGUCCGGGGACGGAGUAGCUGGUUGUGUGAGCCCACAGCAGAGCGGCGAGGAGUGGCUGAUGAAGAAUUUCGGCGCCUUCAGAGCCGAGGCCCGGAUGAAGGACUUCACAACGCUCAACCUGGUCUUCAGCGGGCUGGAGGUUCUCAGCCUGCUGUCGCCGGCGCAGAAGGCGGAGCUGCUGCUCAGGCCGGAGGUCAGCGGUUUAGACAACGGCUCCCUGAGCCUGGUCUUCCACAGCCUGCUAGCAGGGGGGCCCUCCUCCCACCGCCGGCCCCGGCCAGAACUGGACGAAUCCCAGCGAGGGGCACAACUUGACCGGCCCUGGAAACCACACGACUAA
Long non-coding RNA from Gasterosteus aculeatus (three-spined stickleback), 1003 nucleotides. Lineage: Eukaryota; Metazoa; Chordata; Actinopteri; Perciformes; Gasterosteidae. The record is from Ensembl.